CUUUGGGCUAUAUGAAACACUUAUGGUGAUUGGAAGUCCAUAGUCAAGACUGCAGGAAAGAUUUAGUAUUGUUGCACCUGUGGAACCAAUCUGUAAGAUCUUUGCUUUUAUGUUGCUUACAUCUAUCUAUUCAUAUUUGAGCCAUACUUCUGUUAUGUUGCUAUAACUUGGAGUCUAUUUUUUUGUAGAGUGCAUGAAAUGGAGAUGAUGUCAGUGGGUCUUUCAUGGUAUAUAAGCAAUUAGGCCAUACAAAAGCAUCAUUAACAAGUACAGAGGGUUAUAAUCCCAACUAUUUGGGGUGAGCUACAUGAAUGAAUCCUUUUCAUUUAUUUCUAAUAACAGUGAUAUCCUAGUGCAUGUUCUAAUUUGUAUUGCGUGAAAAUCCAUCUUCUAAAUUAUGGCAAUGUAUUUAAUGGCUACUAGAUGACAAACACGCUAUUCCUUCUUCUCCUUGAUUGAUAUUCAUGCUCGGGAGAAUAGAAUGUGACAUGCACUGGUGGUGUUGUUAUGUACAUGGAACUUUAAGAAGAACCUUUUUCCCCAUUUUCUUGGUAUUUCCAAUAUUGAUUUAACAUAGUCACGAUGUUUACGUUACGAUGGAAUGUUAUCAAGCAAUUAGGCAAGCUUGAUUCUCUUAGCCUAUUUCUGUGAAUUUUGGCAUUUUGUACUGUUUAGGUCCUGAUACAUGUUAUAAAAUUCUCCUUCUGUUUCGUUUCAUAUCUGUUUCUUGUACUGUUUAAGUCCUGAUACAUUUUGUACUAUUUCUAGGUAUUUCCAAUAUCUGUUUGUUCGUAUCAGACUCGUAGUUUGUGACUUCGAUAAGUUCUAUUUUCUCGUAGCUUGUUCUUGUUAAAGACCCAAACUGUUUGUGGAAAAUUAGACUGCCAAAAGUCGUAGAUCAUGUCUAUGAUCUUCCUUUUGUUCCAUUACUUUUUCUUCUGAUUGAGCAAACUUUUACUCCAUAGACUAUGAACGUCCUGAAAGCCACAUGCCAUUGUGCAGUUGCACAAACAUUUCACAAGAUUAGUGGGAAAUAGUAUCAUAGCUUACUCUCUCUUAUUUCAAUAGCUGACUUGAAUCUACAGCCACAUGGGAUUUACUUAAAAUUGUCUUCAGUGAAAUACCUUAAGAGAUUAAGGUGACUUUCCAGGAUACCCUGCAUGUUUUAUCAAAUAUAAUAUGAAUUUAUAAGUAGCAAAAGGAUGAUUCUUCAUUUCCUUGAAAUGCAAUGGUCUAUUCUUGGAAUUAACAGUGAAGAGUGGGUUUUCCCUUCGUAUCUGUCCAUUCGAAGGGGCAAGACACUCUGUUUCUUCUGUUCUCUCACAUCAGGUAACCAUGCUAAACCACUAUGAAACAACUUGUCCCAGUAAAUUCCUAUACUGUAUAAAAUAGGCUAAACCUCCAAGAGGACUUGUUUGUUUCUUGGUGCAGAUCAUGAAGUCACUACGAACCAGAUCAUGUCUUUAUGAGUAGUCCUUGAUUUGCUUAGUGCAGUUUGAGACUUCGCCCCCAGUUCAAGGUGCUCAGUUGAUGGUGAACGCUUGGAACAGGUGUCCUGAUUUUUUGGUUGAAUAGACAUCACCUUUUGUAGUUUGGCAUCAACAUGAUAGCCAAUUCCCACACAGGUGUCUUUCAUGCUCAAAGUACCUGACAACUGUUUGACAAAUGUUGUGGAUCUUCCCUGGGAACAAUCCCGUCGACAAAUAUCCACAUUGGCAAGAAUCUGCAUGAGCCACUUGGAGAUCUGUAGAUGUAGAUGGAGGACAUGUAGGUUAGCUUUCUGUCAUCAGCCUCCAGAAGAGUGGAGGAUGAGACUUGUUCCAAAUGGUUCAAGGUCCGCAAGGAGGUCAAGCCCAAUGGCUGUAGGAAGAUGUAGGGCUGGGUCAUGUUCAGACUUGAAGCAAGAAAGAAGGAGCUCAGAGCUCCCUUCUCUGCAGGAUGAAGAUGUAAAUGCUGGAUCCUACUGAUUCAUAUCCAAGUCAAUUAUGGCCAACAAGUCUUGGAUUCUUGUGAAAAUUCUUGUGUCAGAAACCUCAUGGUGUUCCCCCACGUAACAUUUUUUUUGUUGUUUUUCUAUACUCGACAUGUGCAUUAUCUUCUUCGACAUUCAAAGAUCAGAUCCUGAGAGUACAAAACUUUUCAGUAUUAUCUUCUUCAUGCACAGAGAGAAAAGAAGGGAACUAAUAGAACCUAGCAGAAUGAUUGCAGCUGUGUGCCACCAACCAGCAUAUUGGCUUUCUUUGUAAUGUUGGAAGAUUGAUGAAAAGAUUAGGGUUAGCUUUGAUAACAUAGAGAUUUUCUAUGAUAAAAGAGAGAUAUCCUCAACUGCAUAGCAGAUGAGAUUUCCUCAACUGCAUGAGGAAAUCUCUCUGCUCAGUUAAAGAAAUAUCCUCUUUCACUAUGUAUAAAUAGACUUCACAUUAUACUACUUGAUGUGUGCCUUUUGCUUUAUCCUUAUAAUUUCAUUCUUCAUUAUCUCA
This is a long non-coding RNA of Musa acuminata AAA Group (dessert banana), 2480 nucleotides long. RefSeq lists it as uncharacterized. The transcript has 4 exons. The record is from RefSeq and is a predicted model, not a curated record. Lineage: Eukaryota; Viridiplantae; Streptophyta; Magnoliopsida; Zingiberales; Musaceae.